This 253-nucleotide ribosomal RNA is filed under the name uncultured bacterium. Its description in RNAcentral is "partial 16S ribosomal RNA". It matches the Rfam family "Bacterial small subunit ribosomal RNA", at positions 524 to 776 of the family's 1533-position model. The record is from RNAcentral.
UACGUAGGGUGCAAGCGUUAAUCGGAAUUACUGGGCGUAAAGCGUGCGCAGGCGGUUGUGCAAGACCGAUGUGAAAUCCCCGGGCUUAACCUGGGAAUGGCAUUGGUGACUGCACGGCUAGAGUGUGUCAGAGGGGGGUAGAAUUCCACGUGCAGCAGUGAAAUGCGUAGAGAUGUGGAGGAAUACCGAUGGCGAAGGCAGCCCCCUGGGAUAACACUGACGCUCAUGCACGAAAGCGUGGGGAGCAAACAGG